GAUGAAGAACGUAGCGAAAUGCGAUACUUGGUGUGAAUUGCAGAAUCCCGUGAACCAUCGAGUCUUUGAACGCAAGUUGCGCCCGAAGCCACUAGGCCGAGGGCACGCCUGCCUGGGCGUCACACGCCGUUGCCCCCCCAUCUACUCCUUCGGGAUUGCGGGGGGCGGAUGAUGGCCUCCCGUGCGCCUCGCCGCGCGGUUGGCAUAAAUGCCAAGUCCUCGGCGACGCACGCCACGACAAUCGGUGGUUGCGAAACCUCGGUUGCCCGUCGUGUGCGGUCGUCGCGCAUCGAGGGCUCGAAAAAAUUGCCGGGUUCCGGCUCGGCUUUCAACGCGACCCCAGGUCAGGCGGGGUUACCCGCUGAAUUUAAGCAUAUCAAUAAGCGGAGGA
This 391-nucleotide unclassified non-coding RNA is filed under the name soil metagenome. Its description in RNAcentral is "partial contains 5.8S ribosomal RNA, internal transcribed spacer 2, and large subunit ribosomal RNA". The stretch from base 1 to 122 matches the Rfam family "5.8S ribosomal RNA", at positions 35 to 154 of the family's 154-position model. The record is from RNAcentral.